RNAcentral lists this transfer RNA (70 nucleotides) under Ensatina eschscholtzii (common Ensatina). RNAcentral's name for it is "tRNA-Pro". It matches the Rfam family "tRNA". Rfam says of the family: Transfer RNA (tRNA) molecules are approximately 80 nucleotides in length. The record is from RNAcentral. Lineage: Eukaryota; Metazoa; Chordata; Amphibia; Caudata; Plethodontidae.
CAGACUACAGUUUAAACCAGAAUUUUGGCUUUGGGUGUCAAGGGUGGGAGUUAGAGUCUUCCUUGUCUGA